CAGUAUUCUGUGGCGUGGUUGGAGCAGUAGCAAGACACGAAUAUACAGUUAUUGGCCCAAAAGUGAGUCUUGCGGCCAGAAUGAUAACUGCUUAUCCAGGUUUGGUGUCCUGUGAUGAGGUAACAUAUCUAAGAUCCAUGCUACCUGCUUACAACUUCAAGAAACUCCCAGAGAAAAUGAUGAAAAACAUCUCCAACCCAGGGAAGAUAUAUGAAUAUCUUGGCCACAGAAGAUGUAUAAUGUUUGGAAAAAGACAUUUGGCAAGAAAGAGAAACAAAAAUCACCCUUUGUUAGACUGGGAGAAAGAAUUGGAAGCCUUCCAAAUGGCACAGCAAGGGUGUUUGCACCAGAAGAAGGGACAAGCAGUUCUGUAUGAAGGUGGAAAAGGCUAUGGAAAAAGCCAGCUGUUGGCUGAAAUAAACUUUCUGGCACAGAAAGAAGGGCAUAGCUACCCUUCACAGGUGCUUUGGAAACCCA
RNAcentral lists this long non-coding RNA (477 nucleotides) under Homo sapiens (human). RNAcentral describes it as "non-protein coding lnc-NFYA-1:2". The record is from RNAcentral. Lineage: Eukaryota; Metazoa; Chordata; Mammalia; Primates; Hominidae.